UUUCUUGAUUCUCUGGGUAGUGGUGCAUGGCCGUUCUUAGUUGGUGGAGUGAUUUCUCUGGUUAAUUCCGUUAACGAACGAGACCUUAACCUGCUAUUUAGUCGCUCGGUCUCUGUCCGUGCGCACUUCAUAGAGGGACUCUGCGGCGUCAAGCUGCGGUGAGGUUUAAGGCAAUAACAGGUCUGUGAUGCCCUUAGAUGUCCUGGGCUGCACGCGCGCUACACUGAUGCUUGCCUCGUGUUUACCCUCGGCCGAUAGGCCCUGGUAACCCCUAGUCUGCAUCGUGUUUGGGAUUGAUCUUUGCAAUUCUAGAUCAUGAACGAGGAAUGCCUAGUAUGCGCAAGUCAUCAGCUUGUGCAGAUUACGUCCCUGCCCUUUGUACACACC
This 387-nucleotide ribosomal RNA is filed under the name Babesia bovis. Its description in RNAcentral is "SSU rRNA". It matches the Rfam family "Eukaryotic small subunit ribosomal RNA", at positions 1258 to 1670 of the family's 1831-position model. Lineage: Eukaryota; Apicomplexa; Aconoidasida; Piroplasmida; Babesiidae. The record is from RNAcentral.